This 555-nucleotide ribosomal RNA is filed under the name Tetranychus cinnabarinus (carmine spider mite). Its description in RNAcentral is "eukaryotic LSU rRNA". It matches the Rfam family "Eukaryotic large subunit ribosomal RNA", at positions 2326 to 2669 of the family's 3401-position model. The record is from RNAcentral. Lineage: Eukaryota; Metazoa; Arthropoda; Arachnida; Trombidiformes; Tetranychidae.
AACGAGAUUCCCACUGUCCCUAACUACUAUCUAGCGAAACCACAGCCAAGGGAACGGGCUUGGCAAAAUCAGCGGGGAAAGAAGACCCUGUUGAGCUUGACUCUAGUCUGACUUUGUGAAGAGACAUGAGAGGUGUAGCAUAAGUGGGAGCCAAGGGAUCAAUCUUGGCUGUUACUUCGGUGGCAGUUAAGACCCCUUGGCUACAGUGAAAUACCACUACUCUCAUAGUUUCUUUACUUACACGGUUAAAGGGAAGUUGGGAUAGUGUCUCUCUCACUUGGGUUUACCUCAGGGUUCGGGAAGGCCUCCUAUCCUUAAAUUCUAGAGCAAAGUGUGGGUACUUUCAUCAAUGCUCAAGACCCUAUGACUUGUCUUGUUCUUAACGGGACUUGAUGAGACUUAGACUUGAGUUGGAAAGGUAACGUGGGUGUACCGUAAAGAAACUUGUUUCUGGUGCAUACUACAAUCUGCAUGAUCCUCACCGUGGACAUUGUCAGGCGGGGAGUUUGACUGGGGCGGUACAUCUGUCAAAAGGUAACGCAGGUGUCCUAAGGC